RNAcentral lists this ribosomal RNA (567 nucleotides) under Salmonella enterica subsp. enterica serovar Kentucky. RNAcentral's name for it is "bacterial SSU rRNA". It matches the Rfam family "Bacterial small subunit ribosomal RNA", at positions 563 to 1129 of the family's 1533-position model. Lineage: Bacteria; Pseudomonadati; Pseudomonadota; Gammaproteobacteria; Enterobacterales; Enterobacteriaceae. The record is from RNAcentral.
AAGCGCACGCAGGCGGUCUGUCAAGUCGGAUGUGAAAUCCCCGGGCUCAACCUGGGAACUGCAUUCGAAACUGGCAGGCUUGAGUCUUGUAGAGGGGGGUAGAAUUCCAGGUGUAGCGGUGAAAUGCGUAGAGAUCUGGAGGAAUACCGGUGGCGAAGGCGGCCCCCUGGACAAAGACUGACGCUCAGGUGCGAAAGCGUGGGGAGCAAACAGGAUUAGAUACCCUGGUAGUCCACGCCGUAAACGAUGUCUACUUGGAGGUUGUGCCCUUGAGGCGUGGCUUCCGGAGCUAACGCGUUAAGUAGACCGCCUGGGGAGUACGGCCGCAAGGUUAAAACUCAAAUGAAUUGACGGGGGCCCGCACAAGCGGUGGAGCAUGUGGUUUAAUUCGAUGCAACGCGAAGAACCUUACCUGGUCUUGACAUCCACAGAAUUCUGCAGAGAUGCGGAAGUGCCUUCGGGAACUGUGAGACAGGUGCUGCAUGGCUGUCGUCAGCUCGUGUUGUGAAAUGUUGGGUUAAGUCCCGCAACGAGCGCAACCCUUAUCCUUUGUUGCCAGCGGUUAGG